This 480-nucleotide ribosomal RNA is filed under the name uncultured bacterium. RNAcentral describes it as "bacterial SSU rRNA". It matches the Rfam family "Bacterial small subunit ribosomal RNA", at positions 28 to 507 of the family's 1533-position model. The record is from RNAcentral.
GAUGAACGCUGGCGGCGUGCUUAACACAUGCAAGUCGAACGAAGCGCUUUAAUCGAUUUCUUCGGAUUGAAAUUUUAGUGACUGAGUGGCGGACGGGUGAGUAACGCGUGGGUAACCUGCCUCACACAGGGGGAUAACAGUUGGAAACGGCUGCUAAUACCGCAUAAGCGCACAGUACCGCAUGGUACGGUGUGAAAAACUCCGGUGGUGUGAGAUGGACCCGCGUCUGAUUAGCUAGUUGGCAUGGCAACGGCCUACCAAGGCGACGAUCAGUAGCCGACCUGAGAGGGUGACCGGCCACAUUGGGACUGAGACACGGCCCAAACUCCUACGGGAGGCAGCAGUGGGGAAUAUUACACAAUGGGGGAAACCCUGAUGCAGCGACGCCGCGUGAGUGAAGAAGUAUUUCGGUAUGUAAAGGCUCUAUCAGCAGGGAAGAAAAUGACGGUACCUGACUAAGAAGCCCCGGCUAACUACGUG